This 403-nucleotide ribosomal RNA is filed under the name Verrucomicrobiota bacterium. RNAcentral describes it as "Verrucomicrobia bacterium partial 16S ribosomal RNA". It matches the Rfam family "Bacterial small subunit ribosomal RNA", at positions 355 to 776 of the family's 1533-position model. Lineage: Bacteria; Pseudomonadati; Verrucomicrobiota. The record is from RNAcentral.
UGGGGAAUAUUGCACAAUGGGCGCAAGCCUGAUGCAGCAACGCCGCGUGAACGAUGAAGGUCUUCGGAUCGUAAAGUUCUGUUGCAGGGGAAGAUAAUGACGGUACCCUGUGAGGAAUCCCCGGCUAACUACGUGCCAGCAGCCGCGGUAAUACGUAGGGGGCUAGCGUUAUCCGGAUUUACUGGGCGUAAAGGGUGCGUAGGUGGUCUUUCAAGUCGGUGGUUAAAGGCUACGGCUCAACCGUAGUUAGCCUCCGAAACUGGAAGACUUGAGUGCAGGAGAGGAAAGUAGAAUUCCCAGUGUAGCGGUGAAAUGCGUAGAUAUUGGGAGGAACACCAGUAGCGAAGGCGGCUUUCUGGACUGCAACUGACACUGAGGCACGAAAGCGUGGGUAGCAAACAGG